Molecule: non-coding RNA, 204 nt
Organism: Oryza nivara
Lineage: Eukaryota; Viridiplantae; Streptophyta; Magnoliopsida; Poales; Poaceae
Source: Rfam
AAUAGAUGACGCCGUUGACUUUUUCUCACAUGUUUGACCAUUCGUUUUAUUCAAAAAAUUUACGUAAUUAUAUUUUAUUUUGUCAUGAGUUGUUUUAUCACUUAUAGUAUUUUAAGUGUGAUUUAUAUCUUAUAUAUUUGCAUAAAAUUUUUAAAUAAGACGAAUGGUCAAACUUGUGAGAAAAAGUCAACGGCAUCAUGUAUU